This 532-nucleotide ribosomal RNA is filed under the name uncultured bacterium. RNAcentral's name for it is "bacterial SSU rRNA". It matches the Rfam family "Bacterial small subunit ribosomal RNA", at positions 977 to 1509 of the family's 1533-position model. The record is from RNAcentral.
GGCCUGACAUACUAAGAACUUUCCAGAGAUGGAUUGGUGCCUUCGGGAACUUAGAUACAGGUGCUGCAUGGCUGUCGUCAGCUCGUGUCGUGAGAUGUUGGGUUAAGUCCCGNAACGAGCGCAACCCUUUUCCUAUUUGCCAGCGGGUCAUGCCGGGAACUUUAAGGAUACUGCCAGUGACAAACUGGAGGAAGGCGGGGACGACGUCAAGUCAUCAUGGCCCUUACGGCCAGGGCUACACACGUGCUACAAUGGUCGGUACAAAGGGUUGCUACCUCGCGAGAGGAUGCUAAUCUCAAAAAAGCCGAUCGUAGUCCGGAUCGCAGUCUGCAACUCGACUGCGUGAAGUCGGAAUCGCUAGUAAUCGCGGAUCAGAAUGCCGCGGUGAAUACGUUCCCGGGCCUUGUACACACCGCCCGUCACACCAUGGGAGUUUGUUGCACCAGAAGUAGGUAGUCUAACCGCAAGGAGGACGCUUACCACGGUGUGGCCGAUGACUGGGGUGAAGUCGUAACAAGGUAAGCGUAGAUGA